GCCACGGUGGUCUAGCGGUAAAACGCUGGCCUUGUAAUCCUGGGGUCUCGGGUUCGAUUCCCGGCGGUGCCC
This is a non-coding RNA of Zootermopsis nevadensis, 72 nucleotides long. The record is from Rfam. NCBI's taxonomy places the organism in Eukaryota, Metazoa, Arthropoda, Insecta, Blattodea, Termopsidae.